AUACGGAACUUCGGAUAAUAACCGAGACCCCACUGCAUAUUUAUUUAUUGCUCUUAUUAAAUAUAAUUCCAUUCUGUAAAAUUAUGGUGUAUUUUUACAUUUCUUAUGGUAUAAAUUUCUUUUCCGCAACUGUAUGUACUCGCGUCAGACAAAGAGAGCGAUAAUGAGUAAUAAGGAUAGCAAUAAUGUUUAGUUCGGUUUUUCACCACUACGUGGCGAUAGUGUUUCAAUGUUCUAUACAUAAAUCAAACAAAUUUUCGUUAGUGAAAAAGAUUAAUUAAGAGCAUUAGUUUGCGAACUUCUGCAAUUGUAUUUGGAUAAUUGGACCCUCGACUUUCCUUUUUAUAUAAUUUGAACUUCGAUAUACAUUUAUAAGAAGGUAUACAUUUUUUACGCAAAUAUUCUGAGACGAUACAAUGAACUUACGCAUUAUUUACGUUAUAUCAAAUUGAUUCAUACAUUUUUUCGGAUGCAGUACAAGCACAAUUUAAGUUUCUAUAAUUACGUAGAGUUAAACUACACAAAUUUUUAUACGUAUAGUACGUAGACGGAACAAAUGUUUAUAUUAUCCGGUACCAUGGCCCAGGUUUUCGCGCAUGAUUUGCUGGUAAAUUGACCGAGGAAUCCUUCCAAAAAGUAAAAAGGCAGUGAAAGGAAAUCUCCAUACAUUUCCUAGACCAACGGAAGCAGCGAUACAAGCCAUUAGAAAUUCUAGACCACCUCCCCAUUCUGCUCUCUGAGAAAAAGAAGUGAUGUGCAAAUUGGUUUUACCAUCAUCCAGUGGCGUAAUAUUGAGAUAAGUAGUUAGCAAGUAUAUGUUAAUCAGAAUAAUGGUAGAAAGAGACCUCGAAUGAAAAUCUCAAUAAUUAUAGAUAAAUACUAUUAAAAAUAUUCUACUUCGCGAAAGGUUCAAUGUUUUAUAUUAGACUGUAAAUGUUUAUUUAUUUGUGAGAAUUGAAAUUAAUACAGGAUUUAAUUUCAGAGUGAGUCGCUGUAAAAAAGUUUAGAUUAGAAAAUUUGAAGAGGCAAAAAUUUAUAAGUUCAGAAAUUCUAUAGUUAAUAUAACUUUAAUGUGAAAGUUACAAAACUCGAAAAUUCCAAACUACAGAAGUUUAAAAAUUCCAAAAAUCAAAACUUUCUACCGUUCAACAAUUCGAAAAUUUUGCACCCCAAAAAGUUACAAGAUUCGAUAGUAUCAAAAUUCAGAGAUUUAAAAAUUUCAAGCUACAGAGGAAAAGAAUGAGAAAAAAAUAUAUUAACCAAGUCAAGUUAAUUUGUUUCACGAACGCAAUGUUAAGAAGCAAAAUCCCAUCGUUUAAAUCGAUCGGAAAAGUAGUAAAAAUUGAUCACAUACAGAAGGAUUGUUUUCCGAUGUUACUUGUUGCACGUCAGGUUCUCCUUUCGAUUUUUCGCCAUUCCCUUUUCCUUCCAAGUAAAUAUUUUCCAUCUGGAAUGCCUCAUUAGCAUAGCCAUUUUUCUUCUGAAAAUAUUCUACUCGUUAAUUGAAAAUUUCAACUCGUAAUCGGACGGAUUACUCAAAAAUCCUAGUCGCUAUAAAAUCUCUCACAUAAGUUCCAUUUUCGAUCUUCUCCAUCUUCAUCGAGUAUUCCCAAGAAUCUCCAAAUUUCUUAUCCUACAAAUAUUCUAUUCCACCACUAAUAAUCUUAAAGGAGGAUCACUACUUUCCUAGCAGUUCAUAAAAAUUAUUUACCAAUCAUCACAUGUAACGAAAUCACGAUAUCAUUUCAGAAAAAAUCGAUGAAUUCCAAAACAUAGAACUUAUCACGAAUUUUUCAAGAAUUCACUUCACUUCACUUCAUUAUGAAAAUAAACAUUUCACUGAGAUUGGAAAGGAUAAUAAAAUACAUAGUAAGUUUAAUGGUAAAAGGAUAAUAAACGAUAUAAAAAUUGAAUUUGGACACUGGAUUGGGAGAAAGAUAAUAAAAUAGAUGUGAUUCUCUAUAAAGUCUUCUGGAUGGCAACAAACGACAACUUCGAUUCUUCGGAUACGAAACUUCGUAUCACGUUGAGGAAUAUUACGACAGAUGUCGUAGCUUUUUCGGUCAUCUGUGCCGUUCUUUUUCUCCUCGUGGUUCUCGCGUCCAAGUAUGAAAAGGAUGAAAACCAACUUUUUACACCUGUGGGAAUAGAAACGUUAGUUUAUGCAAUGAAUUAUUAUGAGUCACAGUAGAUCAUCCACAGGAUCCAUUCUGCGUUUCAAACACGAAUUCCAAUACGACAAACUGUUCCCACGCUUGCGGCGAUUCGAUAUUACCGCGCAGACGAAUUUCAAAGAGAAAUUUCU
This is an RNA transcript of Bombus pascuorum, 2305 nucleotides long. RefSeq lists it as uncharacterized. Lineage: Eukaryota; Metazoa; Arthropoda; Insecta; Hymenoptera; Apidae. The record is from RefSeq and is a predicted model, not a curated record. The transcript has 5 exons.